CAUGCAGUCGAGCGGAUGAAGGGAGCUUGCUCCUGGAUUCAGCGGCGGACGGGUGAGUAAUGCCUAGGAAUCUGCCUGGUAGUGGGGGAUAACGUCCGGAAACGGGCGCUAAUACCGCAUACGUCCUGAGGGAGAAAGUGGGGGAUCUUCGGACCUCACGCUAUCAGAUGAGCCUAGGUCGGAUUAGCUAGUUGGUGGGGUAAAGGCCUACCAAGGCGACGAUCCGUAACUGGUCUGAGAGGAUGAUCAGUCACACUGGAACUGAGACACGGUCCAGACUCCUACGGGAGGCAGCAGUGGGGAAUAUUGGACAAUGGGCGAAAGCCUGAUCCAGCCAUGCCGCGUGUGUGAAGAAGGUCUUCGGAUUGUAAAGCACUUUAAGUUGGGAGGAAGGGCAGUAAGUUAAUACCUUGCUGUUUUGACGUUACCAACAGAAUAAGCACCGGCUAACUUCGUGCCAGCAUCCGCGGUAAUACGAAGGGUGCAAGCGUUAAUCGGAAUUACUGGGCGUAAAGCGCGCGUAGGUGGUUCAUCAAGUUGGAUGUGAAAUCCCCGGGCUCAACCUGGGA
Molecule: ribosomal RNA, 569 nt
Filed under: Pseudomonas aeruginosa
Lineage: Bacteria; Pseudomonadati; Pseudomonadota; Gammaproteobacteria; Pseudomonadales; Pseudomonadaceae
Description: bacterial SSU rRNA
Rfam family: Bacterial small subunit ribosomal RNA
Source: RNAcentral